RNAcentral lists this ribosomal RNA (301 nucleotides) under uncultured bacterium. RNAcentral's name for it is "partial 16S ribosomal RNA". It matches the Rfam family "Bacterial small subunit ribosomal RNA", at positions 509 to 807 of the family's 1533-position model. The record is from RNAcentral.
CAGCAGCCGCGGGAAUACGUAGGUGGCAAGCGUUGUCCGGAAUUACUGGGCGUAAAGCGUGCGCAGGCGGUUCGUUAAGACAGAUGUGAAAUCCCCGGGCUUAACCUGGGAACGGCAUUUGUGACUGGCGGGCUAGAGUAUGGCAGAGGGGGGUAGAAUUCCACGUGUAGCAGUGAAAUGCGUAGAGAUGUGGAGGAAUACCGAUGGCGAAGGCAGCCCCCUGGGCCAAUACUGACGCUCGUGCACGAAAGCGUGGGGAGCAAACAGGAUUAGAUACCCCGGUAGUCCCUGUCUCUUAUAC